UACGGAGGGGGCUAGCGUUGUUCGGAAUUACUGGGCGUAAAGCGCACGUAGGCGGCUUUGCAAGUCAGAGGUGAAAGCCCGGGGCUCAACCCCGGAAUAGCCUUUGAGACUGCAUCGCUAGAAUUGUGGAGAGGUAAGUGGAAUUCCGAGUGUAGAGGUGAAAUUCGUAGAUAUUCGGAAGAACACCAGUGGCGAAGGCGGCUCACUGGACUGGUAUUGACGCUGAGGUGCGAGAGCGUGGGGAGCAAACAGG
Molecule: ribosomal RNA, 253 nt
Filed under: uncultured bacterium
Lineage: Bacteria
Description: partial 16S ribosomal RNA
Rfam family: Bacterial small subunit ribosomal RNA
Source: RNAcentral